GUGUGUAAGCGCAGCGAUGCGUUGAGCUAACCGGUACUAAUGAACCGUGAGGCUUAACCUUAC
Molecule: ribosomal RNA, 63 nt
Filed under: Salmonella enterica subsp. enterica serovar Paratyphi B str. SARA42
Lineage: Bacteria; Pseudomonadati; Pseudomonadota; Gammaproteobacteria; Enterobacterales; Enterobacteriaceae
Description: partial 23S ribosomal RNA
Source: RNAcentral